GGCGCGGUGGCGGAACUGGCAGACGCGCACGACUCAAAAUCGUGUGAGCUUUCGCUCAUGUGGGUUCGACCCCCUCCCGCGCCACUA
RNAcentral lists this transfer RNA (87 nucleotides) under Candidatus Beckwithbacteria bacterium CG1_02_47_37. Its description in RNAcentral is "tRNA-Leu". It matches the Rfam family "tRNA". Rfam says of the family: Transfer RNA (tRNA) molecules are approximately 80 nucleotides in length. Their secondary structure includes four short double-helical elements and three loops (D, anti-codon, and T loops). The record is from RNAcentral. RNAcentral also lists the same sequence under 2 other names. Lineage: Bacteria; Candidatus Beckwithiibacteriota.